RNAcentral lists this ribosomal RNA (523 nucleotides) under Prionace glauca (blue shark). RNAcentral describes it as "partial 16S ribosomal RNA". It matches the Rfam family "Bacterial large subunit ribosomal RNA", at positions 1953 to 2619 of the family's 2925-position model. Lineage: Eukaryota; Metazoa; Chordata; Chondrichthyes; Carcharhiniformes; Carcharhinidae. The record is from RNAcentral.
AAGGUAGCGUAAUCACUUGUCUUUUAAAUGAAGACCUGUAUGAAAGGCAUCACGAGAGUUUAACUGUCUCUAUUUUCUAAUCAAUGAAAUUGAUCUAUUCGUGCAGAAGCGAAUAUAAUAACAUUAGACGAGAAGACCCUAUGGAGCUUCAAACACUUAAAUUAAUUAUGUAACCAUCCAUUUCCCAGGAAAUAAACAAAAUAUACAACACUUCUAAUUUAACUGUUUUUGGUUGGGGUGACCAAGGGGAAAAACAAAUCCCCCUCAUCGAUUGAGUACUAAGUACUUAAAAAUUAGAAUGACAAUUCUAAUUAAUAAAACAUUUACCGAAAAAUGAUCCAGGAUUUCCUGAUCAAUGAACCAAGUUACCCUAGGGAUAACAGCGCAAUCCUUUCUCAGAGUCCCUAUCGAAGAGAGGGUUUACGACCUCGAUGUUGGAUCAGGACAUCCUAAUGGUGCAACCGCUAUUAAGGGUUCGUUUGUUCAACGAUUAAUAGUCCUACGUGAUCUGAGUUCAGACCGG